This 45-nucleotide non-coding RNA is filed under the name Trichobilharzia regenti. Lineage: Eukaryota; Metazoa; Platyhelminthes; Trematoda; Strigeidida; Schistosomatidae. The record is from RNAcentral.
AUACUGAUGAAGAGUCGAAACUAGGACGAAACAGCUGUCCGGUAC